This 531-nucleotide unclassified non-coding RNA is filed under the name Hevea brasiliensis (rubber tree). Lineage: Eukaryota; Viridiplantae; Streptophyta; Magnoliopsida; Malpighiales; Euphorbiaceae. The record is from RNAcentral.
GGGAUACUUAAUUUAAAAUUGAAACAAUUUUCGAAAAUUGUAAAAUCACGUGUUUUAUAUCCAAUUCUACAAAACUAUUCUUCCUUAAUUAGGCAAGAUAUGGCUAAUCCCUCUCCAACAUAAUCCCUAUCAUGGACACAUAAACUAACAAAAAGUUCUUCACUACAUCCAUAACACUCCAUCAAACGAAUGAAUAACAAUCACUUGUUAUGAGUGUAAAGUGUUUAAAGACAUGUCAUUCAUUUAUUGGCUCAUGAUUUAUGGUAUUUGUUCAUUCAUUUCAUGCAGUACUUUUAGUGUAGUCAACUGAUUUACUGAUGGUGGCAGCACGACUACAAUAGUAGUUGCUUGAUUGAUAAUGAUUGUGAAGCAUAGUUAUUUUGAUAGUUAUCAACAAUUUGAGAGAGAACAAGUCACUUUUAGUAACUGUAGAUUAAGAGAGUAUCAUAGUUAAAUAUAUUUGACAUGAUUACUUAAUCCUGUAUGAUAUAUCCUAUUAAACUGUUGACAAGACUUAGUAAUUAAUGUAAA